Molecule: long non-coding RNA, 194 nt
Filed under: Chinchilla lanigera (long-tailed chinchilla)
Lineage: Eukaryota; Metazoa; Chordata; Mammalia; Rodentia; Chinchillidae
Description: lncRNA (ENSCLAG00000025738.1)
Source: RNAcentral
AUGAUUUUAAAAGAAGAAAUGGGCUUUAAGAGAUUGCAAAUAUGACCUUCGACUUUACAGAGAGCUGCUGAGAUCUUGCUUGCUGUCUGCGUGUCACCUUGCGCUGCCGUGUAUCUGACAUCAGGUGAAACUUCAGUGCUACAGAUGAACCCAGAGGACGUGGUACUAAGUGAAAGAAGCCAAGCACAGAGAGA